Molecule: signal recognition particle RNA, 283 nt
Filed under: Microcaldota archaeon
Lineage: Archaea; Nanobdellati; Microcaldota
Description: signal recognition particle sRNA large type
Rfam family: Bacterial large signal recognition particle RNA
About the family: The signal recognition particle (SRP) is a universally conserved ribonucleoprotein involved in the co-translational targeting of proteins to membranes. Archaeal SRP consists of a 7S RNA and homologues of the eukaryotic SRP19 and SRP54 proteins.
Source: RNAcentral
GCGCGCUUGGCUUGGGGAGCCAGGGGUCCCCUCGGCGCGAAAGCGCCUGCGCCAAAUCCCCUUCAGGGCGUGCGACAUUCCCGCUUAGGGCAAAGCGUGCUUUGGGCAUCGGCCGGGCAGCGGCGUAGAUGUCUUGCCCUGCGUUACGGGCUGAUGCGUCAACAGAGCCAGGCCGGAAGGAGCAACUCUACACGCGUUAUGCCCCGUGCUCGCGGGGGCCACAAGACGGAGCAACGGGCCUGGAAACGCGCCCGGAGCCACAUUGCACGAAGCGGGAGCGCGC